RNAcentral lists this ribosomal RNA (253 nucleotides) under uncultured bacterium. RNAcentral describes it as "partial 16S ribosomal RNA". It matches the Rfam family "Bacterial small subunit ribosomal RNA", at positions 524 to 776 of the family's 1533-position model. The record is from RNAcentral.
UACGUAGGGGGCAAGCGUUGUCCGGAUUUAUUGGGCGUAAAGAGCGUGUAGGCGGUUUGGUAGGUCCGCUGUGAAAACUCGAGGCUCAACCUCGAGACGCCGGUGGAAACCAUCAGACUAGAGUCCGGAAGAGGAGAGUGGAAUUCCUGGUGUAGCGGUGAAAUGCGCAGAUAUCAGGAAGAACACCCGUGGCGAAGGCGGCUCUCUAGGACGGUACUGACGCUGAGACGCGAAGGCGUGGGGAGCGAACAGG